GACGAACGCUGGCGGCGUGCUUAACACAUGCAAGUCGAACGGUGAUGCACCAGCUUGCUGGUGUGGAUCAGUGGCGAACGGGUGAGUAACAGGUGAGCAACCUGCCCCAGACUCUGGAAUAAGCGCUGGAAACGGCGCCUACUACUGGAUACCAAACUGGCCCGCAUGGGCAUCGUUUGGAAAGUUUUUCGGUUUGGGAUGGGCUCGCGGCCUACCAGCUUGUUGGUGAGGUAAUGGCUCACCAACGCGACGACGGGUAGCCGGCCUGAGAGGGCGACAGGCCACACUGGGCCUGAGACACGGCCAGGACGCAUUCGGGAGGAAGGAGCGGGAAAUAUUGCACGACGGGCCAAAGCCUGAUGCAGCGACGCCGCGUGGGGGAGGACGGCCUUCGGGUAGUAAACCUCUUUCAGCAGGGAAGAAGCGAAAGGGACGGUACCUGCAGAAGAAGCACCGGCUAACUACGU
RNAcentral lists this ribosomal RNA (467 nucleotides) under uncultured bacterium. RNAcentral describes it as "partial 16S ribosomal RNA". It matches the Rfam family "Bacterial small subunit ribosomal RNA", at positions 28 to 506 of the family's 1533-position model. The record is from RNAcentral.